GAUGAACGCUGGCGGCGUGCCUAAUACAUGCCAGUCGAGCGAACGGACGAGAAGCUUGCUUUUCUGAUGUUAGCGGCGGACGGGUGAGUCACACGUGGAUAACCUACCUAUAAGACUGGGAUAACUUCGGGAAACCGGAGCUAAUACCGGAUAAUAUUUUGCACCGCAUGGUUCAAAAGUGAAAGACGGUCUUGGUGUCACUAAUAGCUGGAUCCGCGCUGCAUUAGCUAGUUGGUAAGGUAACGGCUUACCAAGGCAACGAUGCAUAGCCGACCUGAGAGGGUGAUCGGCCACACUGGAACUGAGACGCGGUCCAGACUCCUACGGGAGGCAGCAGAGGGAAUCUUCCGCAAUGGGCGAAAGCCUGACGGAGCAACGCCGCGUGAGUGAUGAAGGUCUUCGGAUCGUAAAACUCUGUUAUGAGUGAAGAACAUAUGUGUAAGUAACUGUGCACAUCUUGACGGUACCUAAUCAGAAAGCCACGGCUAACUACGUG
Molecule: ribosomal RNA, 496 nt
Filed under: uncultured bacterium
Lineage: Bacteria
Description: partial 16S ribosomal RNA
Rfam family: Bacterial small subunit ribosomal RNA
Source: RNAcentral